RNAcentral lists this ribosomal RNA (1088 nucleotides) under Clavibacter michiganensis. RNAcentral's name for it is "bacterial SSU rRNA". It matches the Rfam family "Bacterial small subunit ribosomal RNA", at positions 141 to 1244 of the family's 1533-position model. The record is from RNAcentral. Lineage: Bacteria; Bacillati; Actinomycetota; Actinomycetes; Micrococcales; Microbacteriaceae.
GGAUAACUGCUAGAAAUGGUAGCUAAUACCGGAUAUGACGAUUGGCCGCAUGGUCUGGUCGUGGAAAGAAUUUCGGUUGGGGAUGGACUCGCGGCCUAUCAGGUUGUUGGUGAGGUAAUGGCUCACCAAGCCUACGACGGGUAGCCGGCCUGAGAGGGUGACCGGCCACACUGGGACUGAGACACGGCCCAGACUCCUACGGGAGGCAGCAGUGGGGAAUAUUGCACAAUGGGCGCAAGCCUGAUGCAGCAACGCCGCGUGAGGGAUGACGGCCUUCGGGUUGUAAACCUCUUUUAGUAGGGAAGAAGCGAAAGUGACGGUACCUGCAGAAAAAGCACCGGCUAACUACGUGCCAGCAGCCGCGGUAAUACGUAGGGUGCAAGCGUUGUCCGGAAUUAUUGGGCGUAAAGAGCUCGUAGGCGGUUUGUCGCGUCUGCUGUGAAAUCCCGAGGCUCAACCUCGGGUCUGCAGUGGGUACGGGCAGACUAGAGUGCGGUAGGGGAGAUUGGAAUUCCUGGUGUAGCGGUGGAAUGCGCAGAUAUCAGGAGGAACACCGAUGGCGAAGGCAGAUCUCUGGGCCGUAACUGACGCUGAGGAGCGAAAGCAUGGGGAGCGAACAGGAUUAGAUACCCUGGUAGUCCAUGCCGUAAACGUUGGGAACUAGAUGUGGGGACCAUUCCACGGUCUCCGUGUCGCAGCUAACGCAUUAAGUUCCCCGCCUGGGGAGUACGGCCGCAAGGCUAAAACUCAAAGGAAUUGACGGGGGCCCGCACAAGCGGCGGAGCAUGCGGAUUAAUUCGAUGCAACGCGGAGAACCUUACCAAGGCUUGACAUAUACCGGAAACAUGCAGAGAUGUGUNCCCCCCAAGGUCGGUAUACAGGUGGUGCAUGGUUGUCGUCAGCUCGUGUCGUGAGAUGUUGGGUUAAGUCCCGCAACGAGCGCAACCCUCGUUCUAUGUUGCCAGCACGUAAUGGUGGGAACUCAUAGGAGACUGCCGGGGUCAACUCGGAGGAAGGUGGGGAUGACGUCAAAUCAUCAUGCCCCUUAUGUCUUGGGCUUCACGCAUGCUACAAUGGCCGGUACAAAG